CCUUGUGCCAAGCAGCCGCGGUAAUUCCAGCUCCAAUAGCGUAUAUUAAAGUUGUUGCAGUUAAAAAGCUCGUAGUUGGAUUUCUGGUGGGAGCACGGGUCGGCCCUCACGGGUUGUACUGUUGUUGCGUCCCGCCGUUUCGGAGGGAAUGGUCUCGCUAUUAAGUUAGCGUGAUCGGGAACUCUGUCGUUUGCUGUGAAAAAAUUAGAGUGUUCAAAGCAGGCUAAAAUGCCUGAAUAUUCGUGCAUGGAAUAAUAGAAUAGGAUGUCGAUCCUAUUUUGUUGGUUUUCGGGACUCGACAUAAUGAUAAAUAGGGACAGUCGGGGGCAUUUGUAUUCAAACGACAGAGGUGAAAUUCUUGGACCGUUUGAAGACAAACUACUGCGAAAGCAUUUGCCAAGAAUGUUUUCAUUAAUCAAGAACGAAAGUUAGAGGUUCGAAGGCGAUUAGAUACCGCCCUAGUUCUAACCAUAAACGAUGCCAGCUAGCGAUCUGCCUGCGUUUUUACUGUAGACUGGGCAGGAAGCUUCCGGGAAACCAAAGCAUUUGGGUUCCAGGGGAAGUAUGGUUGCAAAGCUGAAACUUAAAGGAAUUGACGGAAGGGCACCACCAGGAGUGGAGCCUGUGGCUUAAUUUGACUCAACACGGGAAAUCUCACCAGGCCCGGACACUGGAAGGAUUGACAGAUUGAUAGCUCUUUCUUGAUUCGGUGGGUGGUGGUGCAUGGCCGUUCUUAGUUGGUGGAGUGAUUUGUCUGGUUAAUUCCGAUAACGAACGAGACUCUGUCCUGCUAAAUAGUUUCUACUUCUCUUUUGAGUAGAAAUUUCUUCUUAGAGGGACUGGUGACUCUUAGUCACACGAGAUUGAGCAAUAACAGGUCUGUGAUGC
Molecule: ribosomal RNA, 888 nt
Filed under: uncultured eukaryote
Lineage: Eukaryota
Description: bacterial SSU rRNA
Rfam family: Eukaryotic small subunit ribosomal RNA
Source: RNAcentral